RNAcentral lists this long non-coding RNA (3466 nucleotides) under Homo sapiens (human). RNAcentral's name for it is "HSALNT0347926". The record is from RNAcentral. Lineage: Eukaryota; Metazoa; Chordata; Mammalia; Primates; Hominidae.
GAUCCUUGUUUGAAGUCUGAAGCUACCCAUGAUUAGGCCAUUCUCUGUGGUGCACCACCAUUUUUCAAGUAUUUGAAAACAGUUAUGUUCCAUUUCAAGUUGUUCCCCCAGGCUAAACAUCUUCAAGUGCCCCAGAAUGACACUGUUUCUAGAUCUUUACCACCAUAUUAUUUCCUAACCUCUAAGUGCUCUCUAAUUUAUUAACGUCUUUUUAAAAUUGUGGCAACCAAGCCAGCAGGUUAUGUUCCCGUUAAUGUUCUUUUAGCAGCCUGGUUAGUGCACAUGGAGGUUGUGGUCAAGUAAAAUGCCAGGCUGGCAGGCCUUGACCUCAGAUCCUUAGCUGCUAAUAGAUAGUCUAGAUAAUACUAACUCAAUAACUAUAUUGGAAAUGAUGUGGGCUUUUUCCUUCACAAAUGUAAAAAUGUUUUUCAUUUUCCUGAUGGCAUCCAAGAUUAUACUUAAAUUUUAAAUACAAUUUUAUAAAAAUUAUGGAAACCUAUGGAUAAGGAUUAUAAGAGAACACGGGCAAAUAAAAACAGCUUAUUUGAUAAGGUGAUGGGGUUUUAAAUGCCUUAGAUUAGAGGCUCUGGAAUUAGAACUGCCUAUAUUUGCAUCCAAAUAGUAAGCCCCUCUUAAUAGCUGUGUGACACUAGGUAAGUUAAUUAACUUCUUUAUGCUUUUAUUUCCUCAUUUAAAAGAUGGAAAUAAAAAGAGUACCUUCCUUCUAAGGUGGUUGUGAAGAUUAAAUGAUAAAGGAUGCUGAAUGCAAAGCACAAGCCAUAUACUUAGUGCUUACAAAUGUAAACAAUAAUAAUAAUUUAUUGUUAUAAUGUUUGCCUGCAAUAAACAAGUCACGUUAUUAUCUAACAUAGAAAUACCAGGUCAAGUUAAAGACUGCAGAAAUUUGAAAUUCUCUACGGACUCUUUUAGGAAGCACAGUUUACGAGAAAUGUUGAAUUAUCUAUUCAACUUUAAAUACAGCUCAAUAAAAAUUAUGGAAGCCUAUGGAAAAGGAUUAUAAGAGAACGCAGGCAAAUAAAAACAGCUUAUUUCAAGAAUCAGCUCACACAUAACUUCACAUAUUUUCUUCCCCUUUUUUCAUUCCCUAACCCAGCAAAAACCAUCCCUGGCUCCUUUGUCCUAACCACUCUGUGUUCUACAUUCUAGUCAUUUGUGUAAGACUCUUCUACUAAGCCCUGAAUUCUUUGAAGGUGAGGACUACGCCCUAUGGAACUCUGGAUCCUCAGUGACAACCCAUAGUUCGACAUUAGUCUCAUAAGAAACAUAGCUGGAUCCUUCUUCACAGCUACAUCUAGCAAAUAAUAAAGGAAGCCUCCUGCCCUGGUAAACUUGGUGAGUAUCUCAUCACUGUCAGUUGUCAUCAGGCCAAGUAUCUGCAAACUACCAGAUGGGGAUAAGGAGGUAAAAUCUUCUUACUUUUGUUAAUUAUGCAAUUAGUAAAAUUAAUAAAUUAAGGAAAAUGGUAGAAAAUGAUGGGUAUACUGUGCACUAACUUGUGAGAAAGUAUAAACAGAUGGCUGUGAAAUAAAAUAUAGACCUCCCAGGUUAACAGUUUCUUCUUGGCAGGGGCUUCUGAUCAUUACUAUAAUAUAACCCAAGGGAGAGUGGGUAUCUUGGGAAAGAGGAUUCUCAGAAGAUGAGUUUGGGCAUUAUUGACAGGUGCAUCUUUUCUUGGCCAGAAAGAAACAUAUUCAACCCCUGGAUGCUUUAGAUCCACAGAUACUAGAAUUAUUCUAAGAGAUUAUUUAGUCAACUGUCCACCUACCUCACCACCAAUUUUACAAAUGAGGAUAUAGCCCCACAGAGGCCAAAGUCACAUGUAGCCAGUGACAACGGUGAAGCUUCUGGAUAAAUUGCAGUAAAUCAAUCUAUUUAAAAACUGCCAGAAGGCUUUCUUCUAGCUCUACAAUUUUAGGAUGAGGUUCAAUGUGUUAACAGGUGCAAUGAUCAAAUAUCAUUUGCCUAUGAUUCAACCUAACACAUCCUGAGGAUCUGCUAAAAGAAUCCCCUCACUAUUUAGCUUAUUUUCUUAAAAUAAGCAAUACAUGUUGUCCUGUGCCAUAAAAGUCCUGGAACAUCCAUUCUGAGAUAUUUUGUUGAACGCCUUUGGAAUUUUAGAAGGCUAAACCAAAUUUCUUUGUAUCAUUUGUUUAUUCAGUUAAUGAAAUUGUGUCACUUAUAAAGGCCCAGGCAGAUCCAGAUUUAUAUGGAGUUAAGUGAGAAUCAUAAUUUCUGCCAGAGCAUAAAACAUUUAAUACAUUUAAUUCCAUGAACUAAUUGAAAACAGUAACAGCAAGGUUUUGUAGGCUGGUACCUUUUUUGGAAGAGAAAUGCAUUCUGGUAUGCAAAACAUUUUGCAAAAUUAAGCACAUAUUAGAAACACAUGAAGCAUAUUACAUGCCGACUUUAUUAAGAAGGGUCAAUCCAAACAUAAAAAUAAAAUAAAAGAUUUUCCAUCUCACAAAGUAGUAACAGAUGAAAGCUGUAUCGGAACGUGAAUUUUUAGUGAAGAAAAAACUCCUCAAUAUCUGUCCUUAGGAAACUAAAUUCAAUAAUUUUCAGUAAGGCCACUGCCCUAAUUAUGCUUGACAAGCUAAUAAAGAGAAGUGAGUGUAAAAACUAUCAGAAGCUAGCACAUUUAGAGCCCUAUGUAUAAUGAGUAAUCAUUACUAUUAUGGACUGAAUAUUUGUGUCCCCGCAAAAUUUGUAUUUGAAAUCUAAUUCCCAAUGUGAUAGUAUUUGGAGGUGGGGUCUUUGGAGAGUAAUUAGAUGAUGAAGGUGAAGCCUUCAUGAAUGGGAUUAGUGUCCUUAUAAGAAGAGACCAGAGAGCUAGCUCAAUCUCCUUUUGCCACAUGAAAAUGCAGCUAGAAGUUGGCAGUCUGCAAAAGCAAAGUAGGCCCUAACUAGAAUCUGAUCAUUCUGGCGGCCUGAUCUCAGACUUCCAGUUUCCAAAGCUGUGAAAAAUAAAUUUCUGUUGUUUAUAAGCCACCUAGUCUAUGGUACUUUGUUUUAUCAGCUAAAACUAAGAAAAUGACUGAUAAAAAUGUUCUUUCUUGUUCGAGGUGGUCUGGGGACAAAACCCAGUUAACCUCUGUGGGUGGUGAUUCCUUUAAUAGCAUUUUUAUCUUUACUGUUAUUUGUUUCAAAGGCUAUGACCCCACAUAGCAUGACUCUACCCAGUGACAACCAUUGCAGAGAUUCUCAUUGAUGAGUUGCUUGCAUUCUAAGGAGAUCCUUAAAAGCCAGCUGCAACCACAGUCCAAGCAAAUCCUAAUUCCUUCCCUGCAGCAAAGGCACACUCUCCUGUGAAGAAGGGUUUCCUCCUAACGUGGUACAGUUGCCCAAACUCCCCAGAUGGCGUUGCUGGAAAGGUUAUUAUUGGUUUAUGCACAGAAUCUGCAAAGAUACAUAUAUGGAUAUGGAUUCUGCAAAAACAAGAUGGAAG